UCCAACACCAUUUUCAUGUCAAGUUCAUGAAAAUCAAUUUUUUUCAUGUGAUUUUCCUUUUUUCUUCUCAUUUCCUUUUUUUUCUUAAUUCUUUCUUCUCUAAACUUCUUAGGCACUAAACCUGAAGCUUUUAACCCCAAUUUCCAGUACAUCUAAACCCUAGGAGAGGAAGAAAGAAAAAGAGAGAAAGGAAGAAAAAGCUUGGUUUUGUAAUUCAGGCAAGCUAAGCUAUGGUGGCCAUGGGUGUGAGGGAAUUAUGAAUUUUUUUGGGUGAAAUCCAAGCUAAAACUAAGUGGUUUCCUGAGUUAAAGGUGAUUGGAUCCUAGGACAAGGUGC
This is a non-coding RNA of Theobroma cacao (cacao), 336 nucleotides long. NCBI's taxonomy places the organism in Eukaryota, Viridiplantae, Streptophyta, Magnoliopsida, Malvales, Malvaceae. The record is from RefSeq and is a predicted model, not a curated record.